UGUAGCCCCAGACUGGUCUUGAAGUCAUGAUCCUCCUGCCUCAAUCUCCCAAGCACUAGGAUUUACAUGAGUGCCACCACACCAGCCUCAACCAUGUCUCAUUUUGAAAUUGCUUUUUUCUUCUUAAGGCUGGAGCCUGCUGUCUCCUCAGUGACAAACUGCUACCACCUGAUGUAAUAUGUCAAACCAGGCCUGAAAACUCCUCCAACAAGAUGGUUGGUUUGGCCUCAGGCACUUGUGAGUGUUCAGGGAUGUGCUGCCCUGAAUUUUUCCCAGCCUUUUAGGAUGUCUGUGGUUGCAGACUACGGAGAGCCAGCAGUUGUGCCUCAAGGAGCACUACGUGUGAAUUCACCCAAGUCCAAGCGUUGGCCACGAGUUUCAGAGCUUAAGAAUCCUGAUUUGACAGUGCACUGGGAGCAGCACAAUGGCCCACAGAAAAAUCCACUAACUAUGCUCCUGAGACUGCUGUAUCCAGCCAGAAGGUCAGUUUAUUAAUUUACAACAAAAAUUCUAUCUC
This 517-nucleotide long non-coding RNA is filed under the name Cavia porcellus (domestic guinea pig). RNAcentral describes it as "lncRNA (ENSCPOG00000036855.1)". The record is from RNAcentral. Lineage: Eukaryota; Metazoa; Chordata; Mammalia; Rodentia; Caviidae.